Molecule: microRNA precursor, 82 nt
Organism: Neotoma lepida (desert woodrat)
Lineage: Eukaryota; Metazoa; Chordata; Mammalia; Rodentia; Cricetidae
Rfam family: mir-2861 microRNA precursor family
Source: Rfam
CUCCUCUGCAGCUCCGGCUCCCCCUGGCCUCUCGGGAACUACAAGUCCCAGGGGGCCCGGCGGCGGGCGGAGACCGGAAGAG